GUCUAGGGCCAUACCACCCUGAGUGCGCCUGAUCUUGGAAGCUAAGCAGGGUCACUGAGUUAGACAAGGCUGUGGUCC
Molecule: ribosomal RNA, 78 nt
Filed under: Capra hircus (goat)
Lineage: Eukaryota; Metazoa; Chordata; Mammalia; Artiodactyla; Bovidae
Source: RNAcentral